Molecule: ribosomal RNA, 405 nt
Filed under: uncultured bacterium
Lineage: Bacteria
Description: partial 16S ribosomal RNA
Rfam family: Bacterial small subunit ribosomal RNA
Source: RNAcentral
AUUGAACGCUAGCGGCAUGCUUUACACAUGCAAGUCGAACGAGUGGCGGACGGGUGAGUAAUAUAUCGGACCGUGCCCUGUAGCGGGGGAUAACUACUCGAACGAGUGGCUAAUCCCGCAUACUAUUGGAGCGGCCGAUAUGGGAUUAGCUAGUUGCUGGGGUAAAGGCUCACCAAGUCAACGAUCCAUAGCGGGUUUGAGAGGAGGACCGGCCACACUGGGACUGAGACACGGCCCAGACUCCUACGGGAGGCAGCAGUGGGGAAUUUUGGACAAUGGGGGAAACCCUGAUCCAGCCAUCCCGCGUGAAUGAGAAGGCCUUCGGGUUGUAAAGUACUUUUGGCAGAGAAGCGGUAUCUGCAGAAUAAGCACCGGCUAACUACGUGCCAGCAGCCGCGGUAAUAC